GAUGAACGCUGGCGGCGUGCCUAAUACAUGCAAGUCGAGCGGACAGACGAGGAGCUUGCUCCUCUGACGUUAGCGGCGGACGGGUGAGUAACACGUGGAUAACCUACCUAUAAGACUGGGAUAACUUCGGGAAACCGGCGCUAAUACCGGAUAAUAUAUUGCACCGCAUGGUUCAAUAGUGAAAGACGGUUUUGCUGUCACUUAUAGAUGGUUCCGCGCCGCAUUAGCUAGUUGGUAAGGUAACGGCUUACCAAGGCAACGAUGCGUAGCCGACCUGAGAGGGUGAUCGGCCACACUGGAACUGAGACACGGUCCAGACUCCUACGGGAGGCAGCAGUAGGGAAUCUUCCGCAAUGGGCGAAAGCCUGACGGAGCAACGCCGCGUGAGUGAUGAAGGUCUUCGGAUCGUAAAACUCUGUUAUUAGGGAAGAACAAAUGUGUAAGUAACUAUGCACGUCUUGACGGUACCUAAUCAGAAAGCCACGGCUAACUACGUG
Molecule: ribosomal RNA, 497 nt
Filed under: uncultured bacterium
Lineage: Bacteria
Description: partial 16S ribosomal RNA
Rfam family: Bacterial small subunit ribosomal RNA
Source: RNAcentral